AACGAACGCUGGCGGCAAGCUUAACACAUGCAAGUCGAACGGAUUUUUAUCAUAGCUUGCUAUGAUAAAAAUUAGUGGCAGACGGGUGAGUAAUGCAUAGGAAUCUACCUAGUAGUAUGGGAUAGCCACUAGAAGUGGUGGGUAAUACUGUAUAAUCCCUGCGGGGGAAAGAUUUAUCGCUAUUAGAUGAGCCUAUGUUAGAUUAGCUAGUUGGUAGGGUAAAGGCCUACCAAGGCAGUGAUCUAUAGCUGGUCUGAGAGGAUGAUCAGCCACACUGGAACUGAGAUACGGUCCAGACUCCUACGGGAGGCAGCAGUGGGGAAUAUUGGACAAUGGGCGCAAGCCUGAUCCAGCUAUGCCGCGUGAGUGAGGAAGGCCUUAGGGUUGUAAAACUCUUUCAGUGGGAAAGAUAAUGACGGUACCCAC
RNAcentral lists this ribosomal RNA (426 nucleotides) under Anaplasma platys. RNAcentral's name for it is "bacterial SSU rRNA". It matches the Rfam family "Bacterial small subunit ribosomal RNA", at positions 29 to 482 of the family's 1533-position model. The record is from RNAcentral. Lineage: Bacteria; Pseudomonadati; Pseudomonadota; Alphaproteobacteria; Rickettsiales; Anaplasmataceae.